GAUGAACGCUGGCGGCGUGCCUAAUACAUGCCAGUCGAGCGAACAGACGAGGAGCUUGCUCCUCUGACGUUAGCGGCGGACGGGUGAGUAACACGUGGAUAACCUACCUAUAAGACUGGGAUAACUUCGGGAAACCGGAGCUAAUACCGGAUAAUAUAUUGAACCGCAUGGUUCAAUAGUGAAAGACGGUUUUGCUGUCACUUAUAGAUGGAUCCGCGCCGCAGUAGCUAGUUGGUAAGGGAACGGCUUACCAAGGCAACGAUGCGUAGCCGACCUGGGAGGGUGAGCGGCCACACUGGAACUGAGACACGGUCCAGACUCCUACGGGAGGCAGCAGUAGGGAAUCUUCCGCAAUGGGCGAAAGCCUGACGGAGCAACGCCGCGUGAGUGAUGAAGGUCUUCGGAUCGUAAAACUCUGUUAUUAGGGAAGAACAAAUGUGUAAGUAACUAUGCACGUCUUGACGGUACCUAAUCAGAAAGCCACGGCUAACUACGUG
This 497-nucleotide ribosomal RNA is filed under the name uncultured bacterium. Its description in RNAcentral is "partial 16S ribosomal RNA". It matches the Rfam family "Bacterial small subunit ribosomal RNA", at positions 28 to 507 of the family's 1533-position model. The record is from RNAcentral.